Molecule: ribosomal RNA, 618 nt
Filed under: Alternaria sp. AF3
Lineage: Eukaryota; Fungi; Ascomycota; Dothideomycetes; Pleosporales; Pleosporaceae
Description: eukaryotic LSU rRNA
Rfam family: 5.8S ribosomal RNA (bases 245-398)
Source: RNAcentral
GGUAGGCACUCCACUUGGUCAUUUAGAGGAAGUAAAACUCUUAUAAGGUCUCCGUAGGUGAACCUGCGGAGGGAUCAUUACCUUUUAUGAAGGCGGGCUGGAAUCUCUCGGGGUUACAGCCUUGCUGAAUUAUUCACCCUUGUCUUUUGCGUACUUCUUGUUUCCUUGGUGGGUUCGCCCACCACUAGGACAAACAUAAACCUUUUGUAAUUGCAAUCAGCGUCAGUAACAAAUUAAUAAUUACAACUUUCAACAACGGAUCUCUUGGUUCUGGCAUCGAUGAAGAACGCAGCGAAAUGCGAUAAGUAGUGUGAAUUGCAGAAUUCAGUGAAUCAUCGAAUCUUUGAACGCACAUUGCGCCCUUUGGUAUUCCAAAGGGCAUGCCUGUUCGAGCGUCAUUUGUACCCUCAAGCUUUGCUUGGUGUUGGGCGUCUUGUCUCUAGCUUUGCUGGAGACUCGCCUUAAAGUAAUUGGCAGCCGGCCUACUGGUUUCGGAGCGCAGCACAAGUCGCACUCUCUAUCAGCAAAGGUCUAGCAUCCAUUAAGCCUUUUUUCAACUUUUGACCUCGGAUCAGGUAGGGAUACCCGCUGAACUUAAGCAUAUCAAUAAGCGGAGGA